CGGGGGGAAGUAUAUAACUGAGGAAGUAGCCCCAGUAACGGCGAGUGAAGCGGCAACAGCUCAAAUUUGAAAUCUGGCUCUCAGGGCCCGAGUUGUAAUUUGUAGAGGAUGCUUUUGGCGAGGUGCCUUCCGAGUUCCCUGGAACGGGACGCCACAGAGGGUGAGAGCCCCGUAUGGUCGGACACCGAGCCUCUGUAAAGCUCCUUCGACGAGUCGAGUAGUUUGGGAAUGCUGCUCAAAAUGGGAGGUAUAUGUCUUCUAAAGCUAAAUAUUGGCCAGAGACCGAUAGCGCACAAGUAGAGUGAUCGAAAGAUGAAAAGCACUUUGAAAAGAGGGUUAAAAAGUACGUGAAAUUGUUGAAAGGGAAGCGCCUAUGACCAGACUUGCGCCCGGUGAAUCACCCAGCGUUCUCGCUGGUGCACUUUGCCGGGCACAGGCCAGCAUCAGUUCAGCGCGGGGGAGAAAGGCUUCGGGAAUGUGGCUCCCUCGGGAGUGUUAUAGCCCGCUGCGUAAUGCCCUGCGCCGGACUGAGGUACGCGCAUUGCAAGGAUGCUGGCGUAAUGGUCAUCAGCGACCCGUCUUGAAACACGGACCAAGGAGUCGUCUUCGUAUGCGAGUGUUCGGGUGUCAAACCCCUACGCGUAAUGAAAGUGAACGCAGGUGAGAGCUUCGGCGCAUCACCGACCGAUCCUGAUGUUCUCGGAUGGAUUUGAGUAAGAGCAUACGGGGCCGGACCCGAAGAAGGUGAACUAUGCCUGUAUAGGGUGAAGCCAGAGGAAACUCUGGUGGAGGCUCGCAGCGGUUCUGACGUGCGAAUCGAUCGUCAAAUAUGGGCAUGGGGGCGAAAGACUAAUCGAACCUUCUAGUAGCUGGUUUCCGCGAGUUUUCUCCCUCCAGAAGAACGA
RNAcentral lists this ribosomal RNA (905 nucleotides) under Beauveria bassiana. Its description in RNAcentral is "partial large subunit ribosomal RNA". It matches the Rfam family "Eukaryotic large subunit ribosomal RNA", at positions 51 to 984 of the family's 3401-position model. The record is from RNAcentral. Lineage: Eukaryota; Fungi; Ascomycota; Sordariomycetes; Hypocreales; Cordycipitaceae.